RNAcentral lists this ribosomal RNA (497 nucleotides) under uncultured bacterium. RNAcentral describes it as "partial 16S ribosomal RNA". It matches the Rfam family "Bacterial small subunit ribosomal RNA", at positions 28 to 507 of the family's 1533-position model. The record is from RNAcentral.
GAUGAACGCUGGCGGCGUGCCUAAUACAUGCAAGUCGAGCGAACAGACGAGGAGCUUGCUCCUCUGACGUUAGCGGCGGACGGGUGAGUAACACGUGGAUAACCUACCUAUAAGACUGGGAUAACUUCGGGAAACCGGAGCUAAUACCGGAUAAUAUAUUGAACCGCAUGGUUCAAUAGUGAAAGACGGUUUUGCUGUCACUUAUAGAUGGAUCCGCGCCGCAUUAGCUAGUUGGUAAGGUAACGGCUUACCAAGGCGACGAUGCGUAGCCGACCUGAGAGGGUGAUCGGCCACACUGGAACUGAGACACGGUCCAGACUCCUACGGGAGGCAGCAGUAGGGAAUCUUCCGCAAUAGGCGAAAGCCUGACGGAGCAACGCCGCGUGAGUGAUGAAGGUCUUCGGAUCGUAAAACUCUGUUAUUAGGGAAGAACAAAUGUGUAAGUAACUAUGCACGUCUUGACGGUACCUAAUCAGAAAGCCACGGCUAACUACGUG